This 253-nucleotide ribosomal RNA is filed under the name uncultured bacterium. Its description in RNAcentral is "partial 16S ribosomal RNA". It matches the Rfam family "Bacterial small subunit ribosomal RNA", at positions 524 to 776 of the family's 1533-position model. The record is from RNAcentral.
UACGAGGGGUGCAAGCGUUAUUCGGAAUUAUUGGGCGUAAAGGGUGUGUAGACGGCAGACUAAGUCAACUGUUAAAUUCCUCGGCCUAACUGAGGGUAUGCGGUAGAAACUGGUAUGCUAGAGGGUGAGAGAGAGAAGUGGAAUUCUCGGAGUAGCGGUAAAAUGCGUAGAUCUCGAGAGGAACACCGAUGGCGAAGGCAGCUUCUUGGCUCACUCCUGACGUUGAGGCACGAAAGCGUGGGGAGCAAACAGG